AUUGAACGCUGGCGGCGUGCCUAACACAUGCAAGUCGAGCGGUAACAGGUGUAGCAAUACAUGCUGACGAGCGGCGAACGGGUGAGUAAUGCUUCGGAAUCUACCCAAUGGUGGGGAAUAACCGAGCCGAAAGGUUGGACUAAUACCGCAUACGUCCCACGGGAGAAAGCAGGGAUCGCAAGACCUUGCGCCAAUGGAUGAGCCGAAGUCGGAUUAGCUAGUUGGAGGG
Molecule: ribosomal RNA, 229 nt
Filed under: uncultured bacterium
Lineage: Bacteria
Description: partial 16S ribosomal RNA
Rfam family: Bacterial small subunit ribosomal RNA
Source: RNAcentral